GGCGAGGAGUAGGCACUGGCGUUGGCGCUGGGCGGUUUUGAGGGUAGCAAUCCCCAUACCUACUUUUUUUAUGCCCCUACAGCUAUCGUCCUUAGACGCUGUUGCUGGACCUUUUCUCUUUUCUCUGCGUGCACCUCCUUUCCAGUCCAAGAUGGAAUCAACUGCUGCAGCAUGUGGAAAGAAUUACUCAAGCUGCUGGGCCACCAAGACUGCUGACCGAGAAGCUCUUCUGGAAGGAUGCAGGCGUGGGCCGUGACAGCUUGCUGCAGGAUGCUUGGUUUGCGUUGCUAUGUGCGUGGACACCUCCCAAGCUGGACCAUGGGCUUCACCUUUCUGUGUGUAGGUCUGCUACGUGCUGCAUUAGAGUGUUGCUGCAUGGAUGAGGCCGAGAACGUCCAAGCUGCUGGACCGAGUGAGGGCAGGAUGGAGCUGGAUUGGAUGCUGGUUGCUGUCCCUGUGAAACCCAAAUGAAUAAGCGUGUAUGUUGAAGGCUGCUGCUGGGUGCUGCAGCAUUUUUUCCAAGUGUGGGCUGCUUCUCCUUUCCUAUUCCCGUGCCAACAUGUAGUGUAAUUAGUGGCAUCAAUUCAAUUUGCUGGACGUCACCCCAUCUUCAAUAGAAACACCCAUGUGCUUUUUUUUAGAGAAAGUAAUUGGUCCAAACUGUGACACCACUGCUAACUUCCUAAAGCUUUGGGCCGUGAUGCGCUGGGGCUGCAGCCUCUUCAAAUGCUUCUUCAAAGGAGUUGUGUGGACCGUGGAGGCAGCACAUUUAGAAUUAAAUUCCAAGUUUUCUAAAUUCAACCCCUAUUCUCUGUGCACCCCCAAAAUUGAUAUUUGCAACUCCUCUCUCUUCUUAGCUUAAAAUAAAAUUGACGUGGCAUUUCUC
This 886-nucleotide long non-coding RNA is filed under the name Vigna radiata. RNAcentral's name for it is "long non-coding RNA (VRAD_LNC013912)". Lineage: Eukaryota; Viridiplantae; Streptophyta; Magnoliopsida; Fabales; Fabaceae. The record is from RNAcentral.